GCUAAAAGCUAGCAGCUAGAAGCUGUUGUACGAAGUAACAAACCGACCCCGGUAGUCCACGCCCUAAACGAUGUCAACUGGCUUUUCGGAGUAUCGACCCUCUGAGAGGCGAAGCUAACGCGUUAAGUUGUCCGCCUGGGUAGUACGGCCGCAAGGCUAAAACUCAAAGGAAUAGACGGGGACUUGCACAAGCAGUGGAUUAUGCGGUUUAAUUCGUAGACAAACGAAGAACCUUACCAAGGUUAGAAGACCAAACGAAGAUAGGCAGAAACGUCUAUCGUCCGCAAGGACGGUUGGACAGGUGAUGCAUGGCCGUCGUCAGUUCGUGAUUUGAAUUGUUCCCUUAAGUGGGGUAACGAACGCAACCCUCGUUGCCAGUUACAAGUGUCUGGCGAGACUGCCCCCUCUCCAGUUUUGGAAAUUGGAAAUUUCCAAACUGCAAAACUGGAGAGGGGGAGGAAGGCGAGGAUGACGCCAGGUCAGCAUGUCCCUAGAUAUCUUGGGCCACACGCAUAAUACAAUCGCCGCUACAACGGGUUGCGACGGGGUAACCCCGAGCUAAUCCUAAGAAAAGCGGCGUCAGUUCGGAUUGGGGGCUGCAACUCGACCCCAUGAAGUUGGAAUUGCUAGUAAUCGCGGGUCAGCUAUACCGCGGUGAAUACGUUCUCAAGUCUUGUACUCACAAAUAAGUGCGCCCGGCAGCGCAUAGUUCUAAGUGGUUAAAGUCCACUCCUCU
RNAcentral lists this ribosomal RNA (736 nucleotides) under bacterium. RNAcentral's name for it is "bacterial SSU rRNA". It matches the Rfam family "Bacterial small subunit ribosomal RNA", at positions 721 to 1533 of the family's 1533-position model. The record is from RNAcentral.